UCCCCAGCUGUUCCUGGACUACAGCUCCCAUCAUCCCUGGCCACUGGUCCUGCUAGCUAUGGAUGAUGGGAGUUGCAGUCCAACAACAGCUGGGGA
Podarcis lilfordi (Lilford's wall lizard) is the source of this 96-nucleotide non-coding RNA. Lineage: Eukaryota; Metazoa; Chordata; Lepidosauria; Squamata; Lacertidae. The record is from the annotation of a GenBank genome assembly.